AUUGAACGCUGGCGGCAUGCUUUACACAUGCAAGUCGAACGGCAGCGCGGGCUUCGGCCUGGCGGCGAGUGGCGAACGGGUGAGUAAUGCAUCGGAACGUGCCCAGUAGUGGGGGAUAGCCCGGCGAAAGACGGAUUAAUACCGCAUACGACCUGAGGGUGAAAGCGGGGGACCGAAAGGCCUCGCGCUAUUGGAGCGGCCGAUGUCGGAUUAGCUAGUUGGUGGGGUAAAGGCUUACCAAGGCGACGAUCCGUAGCUGGUCUGAGAGGACGACCAGCCACACUGGGACUGAGACACGGCCCAGACUCCUACGGGAGGCAGCAGUGGGGAAUUUUGGACAAUGGGGGCAACCCUGAUCCAGCCAUGCCGCGUGCGGGAAGAAGGCCUUCGGGUUGUAAACCGCUUUUGUUCGGGAAGAAAUCCUCUGGGCUAAUACCCCGGGGGGAUGACGGUACCGGAAGAAUAAGCACCGGCUAACUACGUG
This 484-nucleotide ribosomal RNA is filed under the name uncultured bacterium. RNAcentral's name for it is "partial 16S ribosomal RNA". It matches the Rfam family "Bacterial small subunit ribosomal RNA", at positions 29 to 507 of the family's 1533-position model. The record is from RNAcentral.